RNAcentral lists this long non-coding RNA (752 nucleotides) under Homo sapiens (human). RNAcentral describes it as "non-protein coding lnc-NABP1-5:17". Lineage: Eukaryota; Metazoa; Chordata; Mammalia; Primates; Hominidae. The record is from RNAcentral.
GCCCAUGGAUGUCUACAAAGAGUGAACUGAUCACUGUGGGCUGGCCUUUGAGGCAUCAGUGAGCUCCAGUGCCUGGGACAAUGCCUGACACUUAGCAGACAGUCAGUGAAUGUGUUAUAUAAAUGAAUGAAUACUUGGAGCGUGAGAAUCAGAGCGGCAAAAAUAUUUGUCCAUAAUAUGCCUAAAGAUAAAAACGGAAGCCUCAGAACUAGAUAAGUGCAUUGUAAUUGAAUGCUGAAUUCACAGAGAUAACAUCUGAGAUUUAUUAAGCAUCAAGUCAUGUCUUAAAAAUUUUAUAUACAUUUUAGGAUUUAACUCUUAUAAAAAUCCUGUGGGUAAGUACUGUUGUCUCUCCCACUUUACAGGUAGAGAGGCUGAGGUUCAGAGAGAUUAGGUAACUCAACUAAGGUCAAAAAGUUGGUCAGGGAGCUGGGCCUUUAUAUAAAACACCAAAAUGAGCCCUUGUGUAGAACCCUUGAGAGAGAUUUUAAUCUAAUGGCUGCAAUUUUAAAUUGUGUUCAGUUGUGGUAUGUAGUUUUUCAAGGAAGAUGACCCACAGCCUUUCUUGCUUUCUGGCUUUGGAAAAGGUAGAGAUGACCACUUAAACAUUCAAGGAAAAUAAUCCCUGACUUUGAAAUCAGAAGAUCAUUCAGAUAAUAUACUUACUUAUAAUCAUCCUCUCUAAUGUCUGACUAAAGCAAGAGUAAAAGAUUGACUGAACAGCAACAAAUACUUUAACAGUUAAAAAUAAA